GAAUGCCCAGCAAAGAUUAAGCGUGUUGCAUUCGAAGUGAUCAGACUACCGCUAGGCCAUUUCAACUCAAAAUAUAUAAAAUAUCGUUGCAUCGGUAAAACUUUGAAUCAUUUUUGACAAAACUAUUAGAAUUUAAGACUGCUCUGCUUUUACAAUAACUGUUUACUUGUUAUCAUUUCAAUGAAUAUCGAGUAAUAUUUGUCGAUGGACGGUUGUUGAGUUAAUGCACGGUAUUGUGAUUUUUUUCACAAUUGAAUUUAUAGAACCUUUUGUUAAGAUUCAUUGUCAUAUGUAUCAAAUCAAAAUAGCUUUCUAUUACCAGUUCCUUGGCGUUGCAACACCACUGCAUGGUCAUCCAAUCAAAAAAGGAAAGUUAUAAUAUUUAUUUUAUUAAUAAUAUAAUCUUUUAUUCGUAAGCAAU
This 421-nucleotide long non-coding RNA is filed under the name Mytilus galloprovincialis (Mediterranean mussel). The record is from RNAcentral. Lineage: Eukaryota; Metazoa; Mollusca; Bivalvia; Mytilida; Mytilidae.